This 71-nucleotide transfer RNA is filed under the name Marmota monax (woodchuck). RNAcentral's name for it is "tRNA.Ala". Lineage: Eukaryota; Metazoa; Chordata; Mammalia; Rodentia; Sciuridae. The record is from RNAcentral.
GGGGUUGUGGCUCAGUGGUAGAGUGCUGGCCUAGCAUGUGUGAGGCCCUGGGUUCAGUCCUCAGCACCUCA